UUAUAGUUUAUUUGAUAUAUCAAUGGAUAACUGUAGAAAAACUAGAGCUAAUACAUGCCGGAACCGCGAGGUUGUAUUUAUUAGAUAUUCCAAUUAGGUGAAUCAUGAUAACUUUGUCAAAUCUCGGUUUUGCCGAGAUAAAUCAUCCAAGUUUCUGCCCUAUCAUGCUUUCCAUGGUAGUGUAUUGGACUACCAUGGCUUUCACGGGUAACAGGGAAUUAGGGUUCGAUUCUGGAGAAGGAGCCUGAGAAACGGCUACUACAUCUACGGAAGGCAGCAGGCGCGUAAAUUACCCAAUCCUGACUCACGGAGGUGGUGACAAGAUAUAACAACGCAAUUUAAUUGUGAUUGUAGUGAGGGUUUUCCAAACCGAACCACUAGUACGAUUAGAGGGCAAGUCUGGUGCCAGCAGCCGCGGUAAUUCCAGCUCUAAUAGCGUAUAUUAAAGUUGCUGCACUUAAAAAGCUCGUAGUUGGAUUUCAAGGAUUGUGUACUCUUCUAGGGUAUGCACCCUACUAGUCUUUGACUGUUACUGUGAGAAAAUUAGAGUGUUUAAAGCAGGCAAUUGCAAGAAUACAUUAGCAUGGAAUAACGAAUGUAUCUAGAAUCUUGGUUAAUUCUAGGUUUCGAUUAAUAAAGACAGUUGGGGGCAUUAGUAUUUAAUUGUC
RNAcentral lists this ribosomal RNA (668 nucleotides) under Dasytricha ruminantium. Its description in RNAcentral is "SSU rRNA". It matches the Rfam family "Eukaryotic small subunit ribosomal RNA", at positions 110 to 906 of the family's 1831-position model. The record is from RNAcentral. Lineage: Eukaryota; Ciliophora; Litostomatea; Vestibuliferida; Isotrichidae.